AGGACGAACGCUGGCGGCGUGCUUAACACAUGCAAGUCGAACGAUGAAGCCUUCGGGUGGAUUAGUGGCGAACGGGUGAGUAACACGUGGGUGAUCUGCCUCGUACUUCGGGAUAAGCUUGGGAAACUGGGUCUAAUACCGGAUAUGACCAGGGGCUGCAUGGUUUCUGGUGGAAAGAUUUAUCGGUGCGAGAUGAGCCCGCGGCCUAUCAGCUUGUUGGUGGGGUAAUGGCCUACCAAGGCGACGAUCAGUAGCUGGUCUGAGAGGAUGAUCAGCCACAUUGGGACUGAGACACGGCCCAAACUCCUACGGGAGGCAGCAGUGGGGAAUAUUGGACAAUGGGCGCAAGCCUGAUCCAGCCAUGCCGCGUGAGUGAUGACGGCCUUAGGGUUGUAAAGCUCUUUCGCUAGGGACGAUAAUGACGGUACCUAGACAAGAAGCCCCGGCUAACUUCGCGCCAGCAGCCGCGGU
Molecule: ribosomal RNA, 471 nt
Filed under: uncultured bacterium
Lineage: Bacteria
Description: SSU rRNA
Rfam family: Bacterial small subunit ribosomal RNA
Source: RNAcentral